Rhododendron vialii is the source of this 1108-nucleotide long non-coding RNA. RefSeq lists it as uncharacterized. The record is from RefSeq and is a predicted model, not a curated record. The transcript has 5 exons. Lineage: Eukaryota; Viridiplantae; Streptophyta; Magnoliopsida; Ericales; Ericaceae.
UCCCUUUAGACCAUACUCAAAAUAGACCCAUUAUGAUCUUAGAUCGGUUUUUUUGCUUCCCAGAAUAUCAAAGUUCUAGGAUUGGUAGCAAUAUGCAAGGAGUCGGCCUCUUCAUAAAUAUGGAACCUAAAACUGGGCAUUUGGAGAGAGGCUAGAUGGUAGCAGCACAGAAGUUGAGAAGGCGUGCACGAAAAAGUGUCACUGUAGAUCAGCGGCAUCAGCCACAAUUGUCCAUUGCCUCGAUCCAAAAUAAGGCAUCAAAUGACAAUCAGAGGAAAAAAGAAUAUCCUUUGAGUACAUUCCCAGCCUCAGGUGCUUACAUUCUUCAAGAUCAGAUUCAGCUUGAGAUUGAUUAACCAAUGUGCCCAUGCUUCAUAGACUACAGGUUCUUGCUACUGGGAGGGAAAAGGAGUUGCUUGGUUUGCUGCAGUUUUGGUGUUCUCUUAUUACUGGAUCUUCAAACAAAUGGAAUCUUCAUUUAUUGAUCAAGUGAUCAGACUGCUUGAAGGUUUUCUGAUUCUUUUGCUGGGGCUAUGGUGGUUGAUUUUGUUUCCUUCUAGCUGCUGCUGCCUUGAAGAAGGCAUAGUCCUGUUCCCAAGUAUUGCAGAUUUUCUUUUAUAUUUUCUCCUUUGAUGUUGAUGCUUGAGAUGCUAGGUUGUGUGUGUGUUUGCUGCUAUGGAUGGCCAGUCAUGGUUGGUGUGGUUGGAUUGUUGAAGUCAGUUCAAGGAAAUAAUUCUGGGGUUUUGAUGCUGCCCAAGGUGUUGGCUUGCUUCUGAACCUCAAGUUGGCUUGAAGUCCAACCGCGGUUAUGGCGGAUGAAAGAGAUGAUAGUGAUGGAUGGGAUGAGGUUCCUCCUGCAGCAGCAGGUGUAUAUCUGCGAGUUUUAAGUUCGUAUGAAUUUGUCAAUUGGGUUUGUGGUUUUUGUUUUCGUGGAUACGAAGAAGAAUCCAAUCUCGCACUAUGUUUAGACUCGAGUAAAGAAGUCAAAAAUCGAAUUUAAAAUAGUUCUUUUGCCUACUCUGUUUGGUUCUUACUUUUUAGUAGGGACUAGGGAAUGACAAGGAAAAGAAUCAAAGAAAAAUUAGAGAGAACAAUUUUCCACCUCUUA